CGUGUAGGCGGCUCAUCAAGUCUGGUGUGAAAACGCAAGGCUUAACCUUGUGUGUGCGCUGGAAACUGGUGGGCUGGAGUUCCUGAGGGGAAGCUGGAAUUCCAGGUGUAGGGGUGAAAUCUGUAGAUAUCUGGAAGAACACCGGUGGCGAAGGCGAGCUUCUAUCAGAGGACUGACGCUGAGGCGCGAAAGCGUGGGGAGCAAACAGGAUUAGAUACCCUGGUAGUCCACGCUGUAAACGAUGUGCACUAGGCGUGGGACACGUCCGUGUUCUGUGCCGUAGUUAACGUGUUAAGUGCACCGCCUGGGAGUAUGCUCGCAAGGGUGAA
RNAcentral lists this ribosomal RNA (329 nucleotides) under uncultured bacterium. RNAcentral describes it as "bacterial SSU rRNA". It matches the Rfam family "Bacterial small subunit ribosomal RNA", at positions 568 to 898 of the family's 1533-position model. The record is from RNAcentral.